GUAUCUCCUUCAGAUUUAAAUAAUAUGUAAACUCUAAGGUAAAAGAAUAAGAUUUAAUUUGCGUUCUUAAUAUUUUUCAUAUAACUCACCAAUAACGAUGCCUGACCUGUCAUAUAUAUGAAUGAAGUUCUGGAUGGGAUGUUUAUAUAUAUUAGAGAUCUAGAAUAAUAAACAAAGACAACAGAAUGGACACAAAAAAGGGAAUAAAAAACAAUAGGAUAACAAUAGAGAAUAAUAUAUGUAAACAACAACUUAAAGACAAAAAUGUAAACCUCGUUCUAAUUAGAAAAACAAUGGUGCCUGUCAUACACAUGCAUGAAGGUCUGGAUGGGUUGUUGAUAUAACAGAAAAUAAUGGAAAUAGAAGACAGAAUGGACAAAAAUGAAUAGAUAAUAAUAUUGGGGGGAAAAGAAGAGAAUAAUGGGAUAAAAUAUAAUGAACAUAUAGAUAGGAGGGUCUGGAUGGGGGGGUGUCUGUAAUUCUGUAAACAUUUAAUUUUCACCCCUUUUUUCUCUAAUCUUUAAAAAAAAUAACCCCUUUUUUCUCUAAUCUUCAAAAAAUUAACCCCUUUUUUCUCUAAUCUUCAUUUUUUUGGCCCGUUAUUCUCUAAUCUUCAUUUUUUAAGGGCAUUGUUCGUUAAUCAUUUAACCCCAUCCAAACCCUCAGAUAGAGCAGGAGCAUUUUUUUUUCUAUUUGAAUUUAAAGCACAAUGAAAUAACUGCCUCUAAAGCUAGAUUGAUCAACAAAUACACACUUGGAUAUCCACAAAUAGUCUAAUAAGAAGACAAUCGAAAAUAAAUCAAGACCAC
RNAcentral lists this long non-coding RNA (809 nucleotides) under Mytilus galloprovincialis (Mediterranean mussel). Lineage: Eukaryota; Metazoa; Mollusca; Bivalvia; Mytilida; Mytilidae. The record is from RNAcentral.